Molecule: long non-coding RNA, 701 nt
Filed under: Vombatus ursinus (common wombat)
Lineage: Eukaryota; Metazoa; Chordata; Mammalia; Diprotodontia; Vombatidae
Description: lncRNA (ENSVURG00010003236.1)
Source: RNAcentral
GGUCAAGCAGGAUAGCAUUGAUCAGGAUUACGACCUUACUUUCUGAAAAUACAAGCCCAGAGCAAUGCAACAAACCUAAGUGCCUGCUAUAUGAAGAGCUAAGGGCUGGAGUAGGUACAAAGUUUGUUUGGGACAUGUUCCCUGCCCUCAUAGAAUUUACUGUCCAGUAGUACUCACAAAGAACUCUAAUGUACAAUGUUAUACAAUUAGGAGAGUCAACACAAUCGAGGGGAUAAGGAACUGACUUUGGAGUUAAGAAGACCUGAGUUCAAGUCCUGCAAGUUCAGGCCACUUUCUAAGAUGCUAAUUUUCAAAGGAGGGGCCAAUCUGCUCUGGAAAAAGAAGUUUCUCACUGGAAGUUAUCCUACACUAAGGGAACCACAGGUAUGAUCCAACAAAAGGUACAUGUGCAGGUGGAGAGACAGAUAACCAGACGCUUAAGUGGAGCUGCUAAAUGGACUGGUUUUCCCAAGAAAGCAGGAAGUCAGAAGAGCAUUCAAAGGACCUGGAACUGCUGUGUAUUGAUUAGACAGCACUGAGCCUCUUUCGGAACUUUGAUGAUUAAUUCAGGCUAUAAAAAUCUAUAUGAGAAGCCUAAGUCUGCUUGGAAGAAGCUGUAGAAGGUGACCUAUGUCACCCUGAGCUCCUGAAUCGCUAGGAUAUGGGUGACUUUUGGAAAUAAAGUACCAGGUCUAAAGUCA